This 188-nucleotide ribosomal RNA is filed under the name uncultured bacterium. Its description in RNAcentral is "partial 16S ribosomal RNA". It matches the Rfam family "Bacterial small subunit ribosomal RNA", at positions 1314 to 1500 of the family's 1533-position model. The record is from RNAcentral.
GCCUACAUGAAGCUGGAGUUACUAGUAAUCGCAGAUCAGAAUGCUGCGGUGAAUGCGUUCCCGGGUCUUGUACACACCGCCCGUCACACCACGGAAGUUGGGGGCGCCCGAAGCCACUUAGCUAACCCUUUUGGGAAGCGAGUGUCGAAGGUGAAAUCAAUAACUGGGUGAAGUCGUAACAAGGUAUC